RNAcentral lists this ribosomal RNA (468 nucleotides) under uncultured bacterium. RNAcentral's name for it is "partial 16S ribosomal RNA". It matches the Rfam family "Bacterial small subunit ribosomal RNA", at positions 28 to 507 of the family's 1533-position model. The record is from RNAcentral.
GACGAACGCUGGCGGCGUGCUUAACACAUGCAAGUCGAACGGAAAGGCCCUGCUUUUGUGGGGUGCUCGAGUGGCGAACGGGUGAGUAACACGUGAGUAACCUGCCCUUGACUUUGUGAUAACUUCAGGAAACUGGGGCUAAUACCGGAUAGGAGCUCCUGCUGCAUGGUGGGGGUUGGAAAGUUUCGGCGGUUGGGGAUGGACUCGCGGCUUAUCAGCUUGUUGGUGGGGUAGUGGCUUACCAAGGCUUUGACGGGUAGCCGGCCUGAGAGGGUGACCGGCCACAUUGGGACUGAGAGACGGCCCAGAAUGCUACGGGAGGCAGCAGGGGGGAAUAUUGCACAAUGGGCGGAAGCCUGAUGCAGCAACGCCGCGUGCGGGAUGACGGCCUUCGGGUUGUAAACCGCUUUCGCCUGUGACGAAGAGUGAGUGACGGUAAUGGGUAAAGAAGCACCGGCUAACUACGUG